Molecule: ribosomal RNA, 540 nt
Filed under: uncultured bacterium
Lineage: Bacteria
Description: bacterial SSU rRNA
Rfam family: Bacterial small subunit ribosomal RNA
Source: RNAcentral
UGAGGAAUAUUGGUCAAUGGACGUAAGUCUGAACCAGCCAAGUAGCGUGCAGGACGACGGCCCUAUGGGUUGUAAACUGCUUUUAUACGAGAAUAAUUUGAUGCACGUGUGCGUUAUUGCAUGUAUCGUAUGAAUAAGGACCGGCUAAUUCCGUGCCAGCAGCCGCGGUAAUACGGAAGGUCCAGGCGUUAUCCGGAUUUAUUGGGUUUAAAGGGAGUGUAGGCGGUUUGUUAAGCGUGUUGUGAAAUUUAGGUGCUCAACAUUUAACUUGCAGCGCGAACUGUCAGACUUGAGUACACGCAACGUAUGCGGAAUUCAUGGUGUAGCGGUGAAAUGCUUAGAUAUCAUGAAGAACUCCGAUUGCGAAGGCAGCAUACGGGAGUGUAACUGACGCUUAAGCUCGAAGGUGCGGGUAUCGAACAGGAUUAGAUACCCUGGUAGUCCGCACAGUAAACGAUGGAUGCCCGCUGUUAGCGCCUGGCGUUAGCGGCUAAGCGAAAGCAUUAAGCAUCCCACCUGGGGAGUACGCCGGCNACGGUG